ACAGCAGCAGCCGCGGUAAUACGGAGGAUCCAAGCGUUAUCCGGAAUCAUUGGGUUUAAAGGGUCCGUAGGCGGUCUUGUAAGUCAGUGGUGAAAGCCCAUCGCUCAACGGUGGAACGGCCAUUGAUACUGCAGGACUUGAAUUAUUGGGAAGUAACUAGAAUAUGUAGUGUAGCGGUGAAAUGCUUAGAGAUUACAUGGAAUACCAAUUGCGAAGGCAGGUUACUACCAAUUGAUUGACGCUGAUGGACGAAAGCGUGGGUAGCGAACAGGAUUAGAUACCCCUGUAGUCCCUGUCUCUUAUAC
This 305-nucleotide ribosomal RNA is filed under the name uncultured bacterium. RNAcentral describes it as "partial 16S ribosomal RNA". It matches the Rfam family "Bacterial small subunit ribosomal RNA", at positions 505 to 807 of the family's 1533-position model. The record is from RNAcentral.